Molecule: long non-coding RNA, 556 nt
Filed under: Salmo trutta (river trout)
Lineage: Eukaryota; Metazoa; Chordata; Actinopteri; Salmoniformes; Salmonidae
Description: lncRNA (ENSSTUG00000047798.1)
Source: RNAcentral
CGGGCUAUGGCCCACCACGCUAUCGGUCGAAAGCGGGGAGGGAAGGCACAUUUAAAGCGUUUUUAUCAAAAGCAAUAUUUUUUUCCAUGUGAAAACACGGAAUCCUACUCAUUACUACACAUGCUUAAUUACAUAACUUUUAGUUUUGUUUUCGCUAUGUCCGAGUGCUGAAUUCGCCCUCGGACAUAGCGGGGCACCUGGCUCACGCCCGGGAAUGCAAUCAACUUUCAGCCGGUGCAAAAAGUGACUUGACACUAUGUGAGUCAGUCAGCACAAAUGUGGAUAGUAAUAAUGACAAGAAGGCAGGAGCUGGAACGUAUUCUACAUGUUUGAAACAGCGAUGCUGGUGGCCUGGUAUGAAGAUGGCAGGAUGUUACUGAUUCUGAUGAUGUGUGAGGAUCCCCUGGCUCUGCUGACCAAGAUUGGGGAGUGGCACAGUUUUGUCUCAUCUGGCACACUCUUGUCCCUAAAUCUAUAUGAUAGACCAUCUUUGUCCUUCCAUCCUCCAGGAUUCCGGGCUACACCAGCAGCCUCCUCUUCAUGCUCAUCUUCUUAG